UACGGGGGGGGCAAGCGUUGUUCGGAAUUACUGGGCGUAAAGGGUUUGUAGGUGGCCUGCUAAGUCAGACGUGAAAUCCCUCAGCUUAACUGGAGAACUGCGUCUGAGACUGGUAGGCUCGAGGACAGGAGAGGAACGCGGAAUUCCAGGUGUAGCGGUGAAAUGCGUAGAUAUCUGGAGGAACACCGGUGGCGAAGGCGGCGUUCUGGACUGUUUCUGACACUGAAAAACGAAAGCCAGGGGAGCAAACGGG
Molecule: ribosomal RNA, 253 nt
Filed under: uncultured bacterium
Lineage: Bacteria
Description: partial 16S ribosomal RNA
Rfam family: Bacterial small subunit ribosomal RNA
Source: RNAcentral